GACGAACGCUGGCGGCGUGCUUAACACAUGCAAGUCGAACGGUGAUGCUCCAGCUUGCUGGAGUGGAUCAGUGGCGAACGGGUGAGUAACACGUGAGCAACCUGCCCCAGACUCUGGAAUAAGCGCUGGAAACGGCGUCUAAUACUGGAUACGAAACUGGCCCGCAUGGGCAUGGUUUGGAAAGUUUUUCGGUUUGGGAUGGGCUCGCGGCCUAUCAGCUUGUUGGUGAGGUAAUGGCUCACCAAGGCGACGACGGGUAGCCGGCCUGAGAGGGCGACCGGCCACACUGGGACUGAGACACGGCCCAGACUCCUACGGGAGGCAGCAGUGGGGAAUAUUGCACAAUGGGCGAAAGCCUGAUGCAGCAACGCCGCGUGAGGGAUGACGGCCUUCGGGUUGUAAACCUCUUUCAGCAGGGAAGAAGCGAAAGUGACGGUACCUGCAGAAGAAGCACCGGCUAACUACGUG
This 468-nucleotide ribosomal RNA is filed under the name uncultured bacterium. RNAcentral's name for it is "partial 16S ribosomal RNA". It matches the Rfam family "Bacterial small subunit ribosomal RNA", at positions 28 to 507 of the family's 1533-position model. The record is from RNAcentral.